AGUCCAUGGUAUGGGCACUUCCUUAGCGUCAUCUUGAAAUGCUCUCACACCUUGUAAAGGGUUUCAAUUUCAUAUUGUUUAAAAUUAGUUAUUUCUCGCUGAAGUU
Gossypium raimondii (Peruvian cotton) is the source of this 106-nucleotide small nucleolar RNA. It matches the Rfam family "Plant small nucleolar RNA R71". Rfam says of the family: R71 is a member of the C/D box family of snoRNAs containing the C (UGAUGA) and D (CUGA) box motifs. Multiple nearly identical copies of this snoRNA have been identified in Arabidopsis, and it is thought to function as a 2'-O-ribose methylation guide for 18S ribosomal RNA. Lineage: Eukaryota; Viridiplantae; Streptophyta; Magnoliopsida; Malvales; Malvaceae. The record is from Rfam.